This is an RNA transcript of Nomascus leucogenys (northern white-cheeked gibbon), 2327 nucleotides long. It is a transcript of the gene named 40S ribosomal protein S15 pseudogene, with no coding region annotated. The transcript has a single exon. The record is from RefSeq and is a predicted model, not a curated record. Lineage: Eukaryota; Metazoa; Chordata; Mammalia; Primates; Hylobatidae.
CGCCCGCCUCGGCCUCCCAAAGUGCUGGGAUUACAAGCGUGAGCCACCGCGCCCGGCCUCAGCUAUGCUUUUCUAACUAGACUAUCAAAGCAUACAAAAUUCAUAGCCCUCAUCAUAUCCCUAACAGUGACUUCCCUCCAGGUUGGUGAUUAUUAAAAAUCUUUGGGCUAUGCUUGUCUAACCACAGAAUUCCCAUGUAUAAUAGCAUCCAGUCCAUAGUUCUCAAUGAUAGUAGCAGAUAUUAUUGAUUACUUACUAUGUAGUCAGUACACAUGAUUUACAUUCAUUAUCUUAUUUAAACCUUUCACCAAGCCUCGGGGAUGAGGCUCUUGACACUUACUGUGAGUUCCUUUAAAUUGCAGUGCCUUUCCUGUCCCAGACAUUUGAAUCACCAUUCUGUUUUGAAGCUUGAUUGAAAACUAAAUACAUUAUGGAUUUUAUCAAAUAAAUCCUUCAUAAAACCUUCAGGUAUUUGUACCCUCUUUAAUAUCCAUUUGGUUAAUAGGAAGAGUUGUAGAAUUCACAAGAUCAAUUAGAGACUUCAUUUUUUGCUUGUGUUUUUUGAGGUUAUAUGAAACAUUUUAAAUGUGACAUGGGAGAAUAGUGAAAUAAGAGUUUCAACUUAACCAGGAUGCAUGAUUUUAAAAAUCGAAGUAGACCUGAAUUUCCUGAAAAUUUUAAAAUAAUCUAGUAGUGCCAGCAUGAACCUUAGUCACCUAGGCAAUAGAGAAGGUUUUCAUGGAAAUCCGUCUGUUUUAAAUAAAUACCUUGAAUAUUAAUAGUAUAAAAGAGCAUUAUCUAAGUAAUACUGAAGCUUAUUAUCAGCUGAAACUUUCUUGAUCAUGAUGGUUAGCCAUUUAUGCUCACACCUGUUAAUAAUGGUGAUUACUUUCAUCAGGAAAACUACCUUUAGAUGUGCAAAUAGCUUUUUCUGAGGAGCCGGCAAGAUGGCAGAAGUAGAGCAGAAGAAGAAGCGGACCUUCCGCAAGUUCACCUACCACGGCGUGGACCUGGACCAGCUGCUGCACGUGUCCUACGAGCAGCUGAUGCAGCUGUACGGUGCGCGCCAGCGGCGGCGGCUGAAUCGGGGCCUGAGGCGGAAGCAGCACUCCCCGCUGAAGCGCCUGCGCAAGGCCAAGAAGGAGGCACCGCCCAUGGAGAAGCCGGAAGCCGCCCAUGGAGAACCCGCAGCUGCGGGACAUGAUCAUCCUGCCGGAGAUGGUGGGCAGCAUGGUGGGCGUCUACAAUGGCAAGACCUUCAACCAGGUGGAGAUCAAGCCCAAGAUGAUUGGCCACUACCUGGACGAGUUCUCCAUCACCUACAAGCCCGUAAAACAUGGCCGGCCCGGCAUCGGGGCCACCCACUCCUUCCGCUUCAUCCCUCUCAAGUAGUGGCUCAGCUAAUAAAGGCGCACAUGUUUCCGAAAAAAAUAAAAAGAUAUGCAAAUAAGUGUGGUAGCUAAUAUUCUGUCUCCUUUCCUUCACACCUCAUAGAUUUUCAAUCCCCAGAUGUAUUUCCAUCUUUAGAGAAAUAAAAGGUGUGUUUCCUAAUUAUGUUAUACUUUUGCAUUAAGUUUAAUGAGUUACGUUAUAAAACUUUUUCCAUUUAUACCAGUGGGGUUAGUAAAUGGGCCUCUGGCCAGGGGCUAUUAUAGCCCCUAGGCUAUUAUCUCAUGAUCUUCCAAGUACCAGAGACGGAUCGUGUAAUGAAGGGCCUGGGGUCUGGUUCAGGACAUGCUUUCUAUUUUACAGAAGAGUUCUCAGAACAGAGUGUGCUCUGCUUUCUCUGGUUGCUCUGGGGACUUCUGUUCACUGAAAUUGUUGCCUAACAUUACUCUAAUGACUAUUGCUUAAGAGCUGAUUCUUAAGAAGGCAGGGCAUGACCUAUAGAUUUCCUCGCAGACUUGGUACAAUUCACAGGAAAUAAACAUAGGUGAAUUACUUGUCAAAAAUUACAUUGCUACUAAAUGGCAGAUCCAGGAUUUGAACCCCUAAGAUCUAUUAUAGAAAAUGUGAUAUAUUAUUUUGUGUGGUACUCUGGGGAGUGGCCAUGUUUACUUGGUAGGGACUUUGUCUCUUCUGUUUGGCCUUCAAUUUCCUAUCUAAAGUAAAUGUGCUCUAAGUGUCAGCAAAGAUAAUUGGGCUUAAUGGUGGAGCAGAAAGUUGGCCAAAUAUAGCAAAUGUCAUUAUAUGAAGGAAGAGCUCAUUAAGUCUCACUCAGCUGCCUUUCAAUAGGCAGAGGGCUUUUGGAAAGAAGGCCACCUUGUUUGGAAUUAAGUUUUAUUUUUAUCAUGGUAGUCUAUGUAUAAAGUUUAUUUCAUUUUUUA